This 595-nucleotide ribosomal RNA is filed under the name uncultured bacterium. RNAcentral describes it as "bacterial SSU rRNA". It matches the Rfam family "Bacterial small subunit ribosomal RNA", at positions 42 to 685 of the family's 1533-position model. The record is from RNAcentral.
GCAGGCCUAACACAUGCAAGUCGAGCGCCCUUUCGGGGGAGCGGCGGACGGGUUAGUAACGCGUGGGAAUAUGCCCAGAUCUAAGGAAUAGCCACUGGAAACGGUGAGUAAUACCUUAUACGCCCUUCGGGGGAAAGAUUUAUCGGAUUUGGAUUAGCCCGCGUUAGAUUAGGUAGUUGGUGGGGUAAUGGCCUACCAAGCCUACGAUCUAUAGCUGGUUUUAGAGGAUGAUCAGCAACACUGGGACUGAGACACGGCCCAGACUCCUACGGGAGGCAGCAGUGGGGAAUCUUGGACAAUGGGGGCAACCCUGAUCCAGCCAUGCCGCGUGAGUGAUGAAGGCCUUAGGGUCGUAAAGCUCUUUCGCCUGUGAAGAUAAUGACGGUAGCAGGUAAAGAAACCCCGGCUAACUCCGUGCCAGCAGCCGCGGUAAUACGGAGGGGGUUAGCGUUGUUCGGAAUUACUGGGCGUAAAGCGCACGUAGGCGGAUCGGAAAGUUGGGGGUGAAAUCCCGGGGCUCAACCCCGGAACUGCCUCCAAAACUAUCGGUCUAGAGUUCGAGAGAGGUGAGUGGAAUUCCGAGUGUAGAGGUGAA